GACGGGGCCCGCACAAGCGGUGGAGUAUGUGGUUUAAUUCGAUGCAACGCGAAGAACCUUACCUAGACUUGACAUCUCCUGAAUUACCCGUAACUGGGGAAGCUCUUCGGAGCAGGAAGACAGGUGGUGCAUGGUUGUCGUCAGCUCGUGUCGUGAGAUGUUGGGUUAAGUCCCGCAACGAGCGCAACCCUUAUCGUUAGUUGCUACCAUUAAGUUGAGCACUCUAGCGAGACUGCCCGGGUUAACCGGGAGGAAGGUGGGGAUGACGUCAAAUCAUCAUGCCCCUUAUGUCUAGGGCUACACACGUGCUACAAUGGUGAGGACAAAGAGACGCAAGACCGCGAGGUGGAGCAAAUCUCACAAACCUCAUCCCAGUUCGGAUUGCAGGCUGAAACUCGCCUGCAUGAAGCCGGAGUUGCUAGUAAUCGCGAAUCAGCAUGUCGCGGUGAAUACGUUCCCGGGCCUU
RNAcentral lists this ribosomal RNA (466 nucleotides) under uncultured Clostridium sp. Its description in RNAcentral is "bacterial SSU rRNA". It matches the Rfam family "Bacterial small subunit ribosomal RNA", at positions 916 to 1381 of the family's 1533-position model. The record is from RNAcentral. Lineage: Bacteria; Bacillati; Bacillota; Clostridia; Eubacteriales; Clostridiaceae.